This 404-nucleotide ribosomal RNA is filed under the name uncultured Hyphomicrobium sp. Its description in RNAcentral is "bacterial SSU rRNA". It matches the Rfam family "Bacterial small subunit ribosomal RNA", at positions 356 to 777 of the family's 1533-position model. Lineage: Bacteria; Pseudomonadati; Pseudomonadota; Alphaproteobacteria; Hyphomicrobiales; Hyphomicrobiaceae. The record is from RNAcentral.
GGGGAAUAUUGGACAAUGGGCGCAAGCCUGAUCCAGCCAUGCCGCGUGAGUGACGAAGGUCUUCGGAUUGUAAAGCUCUUUUGGCGGGGACGAUAAUGACGGUACCCGCAGAAUAAGCCCCGGCUAACUUCGUGCCAGCAGCCGCGGUAAUACGAAGGGGGCUAGCGUUGUUCGGAAUCACUGGGCGUAAAGCGCACGUAGGCGGACUUAUAAGUCAGGGGUGAAAUCCCGGGGCUCAACCUCGGAACUGCCUUUGAUACUGUGAGUCUCGAGACCGGAAGAGGUGAGUGGAAUUCCUAGUGUAGAGGUGAAAUUCGUAGAUAUUAGGAAGAACACCAGUGGCGAAGGCGGCUCACUGGUCCGGUUCUGACGCUGAGGUGCGAAAGCGUGGGGAGCAAACAGGA